UUUUGUUUUAAUUUUAAUAUUGAUUUUUGUUUUUUUUUUCAGGUAAUAAGGCAAACACAGUUUUGCAAAUUUAUUCCACAUAUUAACUGAUACAAUAUUGAUACAAGUCAGAGUUCUAACAGUACGGACAUGCUAUGUGGUCGAAAUACAAAAAAGUUUAGUAGUACAGCGAUAAUAAUAAACAUUGCAGAAAUCCUGAACUUUACAUUACUACUUCUUCACACUAAUGUAUUUUAAAGGGACAUAUGUAAUAAAAAUAAAGCAAAAAACUAAAGCAGGAACACAGUCGGGAAAUGUUAUCGAUUACAGGUGUUCUAUUAUUUUAGCCGUAAUUGAUAGUCGUCGAGUUCGAUUCAUUCCAUAAAUUCUUUCUCGUGUAACCUAAGUUGUAAGUAUGUCAAAAAACAACAGUCAAACUCCUUAUAAUAUAAUAAUUACUGCUAAAAUACACAUCACAUCGCAAAAUGCGUUCGCAGGAAUAAAAUAUAUCGAAUAACAUGUAUUAAAAAAAACAGACAGUCGGCGGGUCGGCGACCCGACGCGCGGCCGCAAACAGGCAACCGCGGCCGCGCGCCCUUACAAAAAAAAUAAAGUAUAUAUUAAAUAUAUACGGCUAAUACGACAGUGAAAACAUAAGCAUAACGGGAAACUUACAUUCGAAACAUUUCAUAACGUCCUACUUUAAGAUUUUUACGGAAUCGUCGCGAUACAAAAUCGAAAACGUGAAAAUCAAAUAAAAAAAAACACAUAUAGAAAAAAGUGGACCGGUCCGCUCGCUAGGUCGGGCGGGCCGGGCGUACGCGUAAACGUGACCGUCUCACGCUGCGGAGCGUGCGCGGCGCGCGGCGCGGGCGAGGUGCUCCCCUGCGCAGCUUGUAGUGUCUCCGGGACAGGGGCUCGCGCGGGCGCGCGGCGCGGGCGGGGCGGGGCUAGCUGCCCCCCGCCCAGCCGCGCGCCGCCGCCGCCGCCGCGCCCAGCCGCCGCUUGCUCUCCCCCCCAGCGUUCUGCUGACCCCCGUCGUGUUUACGUUUACCUGCAACACCACGCCGCCUCUGCACUACACUGCACUCCUGCCGCCACUCGCUAUCACUGAGACCAUUCUCAUAAAUACCUAUGUUGUAACACACGAAAGCCUGACACAAGAUAAUUACGGCAGUGUGACCAGAUUUCAUUUAUCGAAUCUACUGCUUGAAGAGGUUAAAUACUACUAAAUUCUACCAAAAAAGAACGAGAAAAUACUAAAAAUCUAUGACA
Molecule: unclassified non-coding RNA, 1254 nt
Filed under: Melitaea cinxia (Glanville fritillary)
Lineage: Eukaryota; Metazoa; Arthropoda; Insecta; Lepidoptera; Nymphalidae
Description: misc RNA ENSMCXG00005018194.1
Source: RNAcentral